RNAcentral lists this microRNA (21 nucleotides) under Aedes aegypti (yellow fever mosquito). RNAcentral describes it as "aae-miR-11913". The record is from miRBase by way of RNAcentral. Lineage: Eukaryota; Metazoa; Arthropoda; Insecta; Diptera; Culicidae.
AAUGUUGGACAACUGCAAGGU